Molecule: unclassified non-coding RNA, 363 nt
Filed under: Hevea brasiliensis (rubber tree)
Lineage: Eukaryota; Viridiplantae; Streptophyta; Magnoliopsida; Malpighiales; Euphorbiaceae
Source: RNAcentral
AGAAACCCUAGUUUCUAAUUUACGAUGGCUGCUUCUAAUUUACCAGAUGCUGAUUCGGUGACGGCAUCGACUGCCGAUCAUUCUCCUCGUAAUUCUGGACAGCCCCAGCAGCUCAAGUACAUGACAGUUCUCAAAGAUUCCUCCGAUUGCUUCCAUUUUUUAUCGGAAACCGCCGCAGCCGACGGAGUAGAAAGCUUCUUAGCCUGAGAAACCGAUCUGACAUGGUUUUUAGCGUACUGUUGAACCGAUCUAAUUGUAUGAUUCCACCGGCAAAUCCCUUGAUCUUUUAAGGCUUCAACCACUCCAACGCUGGCGGCUACAACCCAAGCUCUUCUCGAACAACUCAUUUUUGCUAUCUCUGCG